CAGUAGCCGCGGUAAUACGUAGGGUGCGAGCGUUAAUCGGAAUUACUGGGCGUAAAGCGUGCGCAGGCGGUUGUGUAAGACAGGUGUGAAAUCCCCGGGCUUAACCUGGGAACUGCGCUUGUGACUGCACAGCUAGAGUAUGGCAGAGGGGGGUGGAAUUCCACGUGUAGCAGUGAAAUGCGUAGAGAUGUGGAGGAACACCGGUGGCGAAGGCGGCUCACUGGUCCGGAACUGACGCUGAGGCACGACAGCGUGGGGAGCAAACAGGAUUAGAUACCCGGGUAGUCCCUGUCUCUUAUAA
RNAcentral lists this ribosomal RNA (301 nucleotides) under uncultured bacterium. RNAcentral's name for it is "partial 16S ribosomal RNA". It matches the Rfam family "Bacterial small subunit ribosomal RNA", at positions 509 to 809 of the family's 1533-position model. The record is from RNAcentral.